GCAGUAGCCACGGGAAUACAGAGGGUGCGAGCGUUAAUCGGAUUUACUGGGCGUAAAGCGUGCGUAGGCGGCUUCUUAAGUCGGAUGUGAAAUCCCUGAGCUUAACUUAGGAAUUGCAUUCGAUACUGGGAAGCUAGAGUAUGGGAGAGGAUGGUAGAAUUCCAGGUGUAGCGGUGAAAUGCGUAGAGAUCUGGAGGAAUACCGAUGGCGAAGGCAGCCAUCUGGCCUAAUACUGACGCUGAGGUACGAAAGCAUGGGGAGCAAACAGGAUUAGAUACCCGCGUAGUCCCUGUCUCUUAUAC
Molecule: ribosomal RNA, 302 nt
Filed under: uncultured bacterium
Lineage: Bacteria
Description: partial 16S ribosomal RNA
Rfam family: Bacterial small subunit ribosomal RNA
Source: RNAcentral